Molecule: small nuclear RNA, 188 nt
Filed under: Carlito syrichta (Philippine tarsier)
Lineage: Eukaryota; Metazoa; Chordata; Mammalia; Primates; Tarsiidae
Description: U2 spliceosomal RNA (ENSTSYG00000022654.2)
Rfam family: U2 spliceosomal RNA
About the family: U2 is a small nuclear RNA (snRNA) component of the spliceosome (involved in pre-mRNA splicing). Complementary binding between U2 snRNA (in an area lying towards the 5' end but 3' to hairpin I) and the branchpoint sequence (BPS) of the intron results the bulging out of an unpaired adenosine, on the BPS, which initiates a nucleophilic attack at the intronic 5' splice site, thus starting the first of two transesterification reactions that mediate splicing.
Source: Rfam by way of RNAcentral
UCAACACUCGCAAGAAAAUAAGAUCAAGUGUAAUAUCUGUUCUUAUCAGUUUAAUAUCUGAUAUGUCCUGUAUCAGAGGACAAUAUAUUAAAUGGACUUUUGAAGCUAGGAGAUGGAACAGGAGCUUGCUGCAUCCACUCCACGCAUCAGCCUGGUAUUGCAGUACUUCCAGGACUGAUGACCCCUCC